This 440-nucleotide ribosomal RNA is filed under the name uncultured bacterium. RNAcentral's name for it is "partial 16S ribosomal RNA". It matches the Rfam family "Bacterial small subunit ribosomal RNA", at positions 338 to 795 of the family's 1533-position model. The record is from RNAcentral.
CCUACGGGCGACAGCAGUGGGGAAUAUUGCACAAUGGGGGAAACCCUGAUGCAGCGACGCCGCGUGAGUGAAGAAGUAUCUCGGUACGUAAAGCUCUAUCAGCAGGGAAGAAAAUGACGGUACCUGACUAAGAAGCCCCGGCUAACUACGUGCCAGCAGCCGCGGUAAUACGUAGGGGGCAAGCGUUAUCCGGAUUUACUGGGUGUAAAGGGAGCGUAGACGGCAGCACAAGUCUGGAGUGAAAUCCCGGGGCUUAACCCCGGAACUGCUUUGGAAACUGUGCGGCUGGAGCGCAGGAGGGGUAAGCGGAAUUCCUGGUGUAGCGGUGAAAUGCGUAGAUAUUAGGAGGAACACCGGUGGCGAAGGCGGCUUACUGGACUGUAACUGACGUUGAGGCUCGAAAGCGUGGGGAGCAAACAGGAUUAGAUACCCCUGUAGUC